CGGGUACUAAUAGCAGCCAAACUCCGAAUACCUGUUAGGUUUAUCAUGGCAGUGAGUCGGCGGGGGAUAAGCUCCGUCGUCAAAAGGGAAACAGCCCUGAUCGUCGUCUAAGGUCCCGAAGCGCGUGCUAAGUGGGAAAGGAUGUGGAGUCGCAUAGACAGCCAGGAGGUUGGCUCAGAAGCAGCCAUCCUUGAAAGAGUGCGUAACAGCUCACUGGUCUAGUGGUUCCGCGCCGACAAUGUAGCGGGGCUUAAGCACGCCACCGAAGACGCGACUGCGUGAUUUUUCACGCGGGGUAGGAGAGCGUCCUGUAUGGGGUGAAGCGGCAGUGUGAACUUGUCGUGGACUAUACGGGAGUGAGAAUGCAGACAUGAGUAGCGAGAGACAGGUGUGAAUCCUGUCCGCUGAAUGACUAAGGGUUCCGGGGCCACGUUCGUCGUCCCCGGGUGAGUCGAGUCCUAAGGCGAGGCCGACAGGCGUAGUCGAAUGGAUGAACGGGUUGAUAUUCCCGUACCGGUGUUACACCGUUCGAACUGAAUCUGAGAGUACUAACCUUCGUUAUUCUGGUUGAUUGCCUUUCGGGGUUUUCUUCUGGUUUAGUGUUGGGAGCGUAUCGGUAGUAGGUUAGCGUGGGAGUGACGCGGGUAGGUAGCCGGCUGCGGAGGUGGUUUUCCGUGGCUAAGCGUGUGGGCUGUCUCCUAGGUAAAUCCGGGGGAUGUUUAAGCUGAGGCGUGAUGGGUAGGCCGUAUGGCUGAUUCCGGUGAUCCUGCUUGCCGAGAAAAGCUUCAACGUGAGGUGUGAUUCCGCUCGUACCCUAAACCGACACUGGUGGUCUGGUAGAGUAUACCGAAGCGAUCGGGCGAAUCCUGGCCAAGGAACUCGGCAAAUUACUCCCGUGCCUUCGGCAUAAGGGAGACCCCUGAUGGUGAUGUUUUUUACAAGCGGAGCUGUUGGGGGUGGCACAAGCUAGGGGGUAGCGACUGUUUACCAAAAACACAGGAGCGUGCGAAGGCGUAAGCCGCUGUAUACGCUCUGACGCCUGCCCGGUGCCGGAAGGUUAAGAGGAUCCGUUAGCUUUGGCGAAGCGGUGAAUUUAAGCCCCGGUAAACGGCGGUGGUAACUAUAACCAUCCUAAGGUAGCGAAAUUCCUUGUCGGGUAAGUUCCGACCUGCACGAAUGGCGUAACGACUUCCCCACUGUCUCGGCCAGGAGCCCGGCGAAAUUGCAGUACGAGUAAAGAUGCUCGUUAAGCGCAGAAGGACGAAAAGACCCCGGGACCUUUACUAUACCUUGGUAUUGUCGUUAGGUGUGGAUCGUGUAGCAUAGGCGGGAGGCUGUGAAGCGUGGGCGCUAGCUUGCGUGGAGUCAACAAGUGAAAUACCGCUCUUUCCAUAUCUGGCGUCUAACCUCGACACGUUAUCCGUGUUAGGGACAGUGCCUGGCGGGUAGUUUAACUGGGGCGGUUGCCUCCUAAAGAGUAACGGAGGCGCUCAAUGGUCCGCUCAGCCCGGUUGGCAAUCGGGUGUUGAGUGUAAUCGCACAAGCGGGCUUGACUGUGAGACUGACGGGUCGAGCAGGGACGAAAGUCGGAGAUAGUGAUCCGGUGCCGGCGUACGGACGUGGCAUCGCUCAACGGAUAAAAGGUACCCCGGGGAUAACAGGCUGAUCAUUCCCAAGAGUCCAUAUCGACGGGAUGGUUUGGCACCUCGAUGUCGGCUCGUCGCAUCCUGGGGCUGGAGCAGGUCCCAAGGGUUCGGCUGUUCGCCGAUUAAAGCGGCACGCGAGCUGGGUUCAGAACGUCGUGAGACAGUUUGGUCUCUAUCCUCUGCGCUCGUUGGAAUGUUGAGGAGACCUGCCCAUAGUACGAGAGGACCUGGGUGGACGAACCUCUGGUAUGCCGGUCGUCACGCCAGUGGCGCUGCCGGUUAGCUACGUUUGGAAGGGAUAACCGCUGAAAGCAUCUAAGCGGGAAGCCUGCUCCAAGAUUAGCAUUCCUUGCACUUUGUGUGUGAGCCCCCAUGUAGAACACGUGGUUGAUAGGCUGGAUGUGGAAGCCCUGUAAGGGGUGGAGCUGACCAGUACUAAUGGGCGAUUGUGAUACUAC
This 2104-nucleotide ribosomal RNA is filed under the name Gardnerella vaginalis. RNAcentral's name for it is "bacterial LSU rRNA". It matches the Rfam family "Bacterial large subunit ribosomal RNA", at positions 933 to 2925 of the family's 2925-position model. Lineage: Bacteria; Bacillati; Actinomycetota; Actinomycetes; Bifidobacteriales; Bifidobacteriaceae. The record is from RNAcentral.